ACCUGGAUGGCUCAGUCGGUUGGGCACCCGACUUUGGCUCAGGUCAUGAUCUAAUGGUUCAUGGGUUCGAAUCCCAUGUUGGGCA
This 85-nucleotide transfer RNA is filed under the name Felis catus (domestic cat). It matches the Rfam family "tRNA". From Rfam's summary of the family: Transfer RNA (tRNA) molecules are approximately 80 nucleotides in length. Their secondary structure includes four short double-helical elements and three loops (D, anti-codon, and T loops). Further hydrogen bonds mediate the characteristic L-shaped molecular structure. tRNAs have two regions of fundamental functional importance: the anti-codon, which is responsible for specific mRNA codon recognition, and the 3' end, to which the tRNAs corresponding amino acid is attached (by aminoacyl-tRNA synthetases). tRNAs cope with the degeneracy of the genetic code in two manners: having more than one tRNA (with a specific anti-codon) for a particular amino acid; and 'wobble' base-pairing, i.e. permitting non-standard base-pairing at the 3rd anti-codon position. The record is from Rfam by way of RNAcentral. Lineage: Eukaryota; Metazoa; Chordata; Mammalia; Carnivora; Felidae. RNAcentral also lists the same sequence under 1 other name.